UCGAACGGGCUGUCGGGGCAACCCGGCAGUCAGUGGCGAACGGGUGAGUAAUGCAUCGGAACGUGUCCCGUAGUGGGGGAUAACCCGGCGAAAGCCGGACUAAUACCGCAUAUGCUCUACGGAGGAAAGCGGGGGACCCGAAAGGGCCUCGUGCUAUGGGAGCGGCCGAUGUCCGAUUAGCUUGUUGGUGGGGUAAUGGCCUACCAAGGCGACGAUCGGUAGCUGGUCUGAGAGGAUGAUCAGCCACACUGGGACUGAGACACGGCCCAGACUCCUACGGGAGGCAGCAGUGGGGAAUUUUGGACAAUGGGGGCAACCCUGAUCCAGCCAUGCCGCGUGCGGGAAGAAGGCCUUCGGGUUGUAAACCGCUUUUAGCCGGAAAGAAAAGGCACAGGCCAAUACCCUGUGUUCUUGACGGUACCGGCGGAAUAAGCACCGGCUAACUACGUGCCAGCAGCCGCGGUAAUACGUAGGGUGCGAGCGUUA
This 486-nucleotide ribosomal RNA is filed under the name uncultured bacterium. RNAcentral's name for it is "bacterial SSU rRNA". It matches the Rfam family "Bacterial small subunit ribosomal RNA", at positions 62 to 543 of the family's 1533-position model. The record is from RNAcentral.